Molecule: long non-coding RNA, 1908 nt
Filed under: Chlamydomonas reinhardtii
Lineage: Eukaryota; Viridiplantae; Chlorophyta; Chlorophyceae; Chlamydomonadales; Chlamydomonadaceae
Description: long non-coding RNA (CREI_LNC000596)
Source: RNAcentral
GGCAUGAGUGGAGGCUAUUGUCGGUUUGAGAGAUUGGGAUUGUCGUUUGGGGCCGUGGCGGUUUGUAACGCUACACGGCAGUAAGGAGUCAAUAAGCAGCAAGAUACGCCCUGCCAGCAGCAGUGGCUCGGAAGCGGGAUUGGCACGUAAAACGUUGCAUUGUUAUUGGGCUUGACGGUAAGGUUCCGAGUACAGGUGUCGCUGGUGCCCCACCCCGCUCGUUCGGUCCAGUUACUCCCGCCGCUGACUGAGUAAAAGUCCAGGAGUGCUUGUGCCUGCGUUGACUCGUUGCAGACUCCCUGUCCAGCUGAAGGCGGGAGAAGCAGCAAAGAUAAUGACAAGAGCAGCGCCGCUCCCGCCACGUGGCCGAAGAUAGCUCGGCGUAGUGCAGUCAUGGCUGAUUCAACCAGUCCAUUCGGUUGGGAUUUAUCUCAUAUCAGCAACUUGCCCACCGUCAACCAUUAUCUGAGAGACGAGCUUGCAGGGCUUCAAGCUAAUGCUUUGAAGUCAUGUGAUGUCAUCUAAUACCAUAGAGGCUGCAUCUCAGCUUAGGUUGUGUGUGAAAGAACGCUAGUGGCCCUGUUCCGGGGUGGCCGCUUCGCUUCUAACAAAUGACAACUUAGUGGUCACUCAGGACGUUUAGAAUGUGUGUUCAGGUGAAGCCAAGGUGGUGGUGCGUCGCGCACUGACAAAGGUGGGUGCGGCCGCAAUUGGGUUUCAGUGGCGUGCCGGUUUUUUGCGCAAUUGGGUUUCAGUGGCGUGCCGGGUUUGCCGGGUUUCAGUGGCGUGCCGGGUUUCAGUGGCGUGCCGGUUUUUGGGCUGAGCCCCCCCAGCGAAGCGUUCCAGGGGGGGGGGGCGAAGCCCCCCCAGGAACACCCGCUCAAGAGAGGGUUCCCCUUUACAUCAAACCUGCUUACCUAGCUAUCCGUUUUGCCUAGGACCGCCCCCGACAUCCCUAUACUCACGCGCCCUCCACGGGUGCGAUAUGCCCCCACAUUGUGGGCGGAAUGCCCCAAGAUCCAGACGGAAGCCCAACGCGCCAGUGUUUCGGCCAAUUGUUAUUGCUUACAUCAUAGACAAUCCCUGUUCAAGACAGGGCUGGGCCCUACUUAUGCCUCUCGAUAGCGUUCUUGGAAGCAAGCCGUCUGGAUCUCCGCGACUCCGCCCACACCUGCCCCCAAGCCUGCCACCUGCCCACGCCCCUGCCCCCAGCCAGUAACUGCCGCAGCAAAGGGUGUGUUCUGCAGGCGGGCGGGUUGCAGCGGGAGCUUGGCGGACAGUACGCACGUCAGAGGAACUGGAAGCUCCAAGAAGUGCCUCCUGUCCAGCAGACCACUGCCAUGCCACCUGCAGCAGUGCUGCCGCUGCCGCCAUAGGCCGCCCAGUGACCGGGCGUGCGGUGCGAGACACGGAUGUGUACGGUAGUUGUGCUUUUGUGUGCUCGUGUACAUGUUUGGCUCCGCCCGCAGGGCUGUGAGAUGUUGGAGAGUGACUCUACCCGCUUCUAAAAAGGGGCGCGGCAUAAUCUACACCGUAAACUGCAUGCGCCACUAACACCGUCACAGUGCGGUCGUCGCCAAUAGAGCCAUGUAAUGCGUCCAUGAAGUGCCGUUGAAUGUUUUAGGCAUUUGAUCCCCACUGGAGUGGGUUCCGUGAGCCAUGCAUUGUCACAUCAAGGACGCCGCCGCCACUUCGCUGGUCAGGCGCAGCACACCCGCCGCGCACGUGAACCCGUGGAGGUGAGUGAUGUUGCCCACACGCCGAUCUCGCCUGACGUAGUUCUACUUAUGUGUGCCCAUGCAGGUGUUUUGUCCGGAGGGGACCUGGGCCGCAUGGGCCGCGGGUCGAUGGGUCGGCGGGUCGGCGGCGGGGAGGCCCGAGCGGCCCGAGGGCUGGCGUGGCGGUGAG